UACAUGUGGGGCAAGCGUUGUUCGGAAUUACUGGGCAUAAAGGGUGCGUAGGCGGCUUGUUAAGUCAGGGGUGAAAGUUUUCGGCCCAACCGGAAAAUUGCCUUUGAUACUGGCGAGCUUGAGUGCAGAAGAGAAAAGCGGAAUUCCACGUGUAGCGGUGAAAUGCGUAGAGAUGUGGAGGAACACCAGUGGCGAAGGCGGCUUUUUGGUCUGUAACUGACGCUGAGGCGCGAAAGCGUGGGGAGCAAACAGG
Molecule: ribosomal RNA, 253 nt
Filed under: uncultured bacterium
Lineage: Bacteria
Description: partial 16S ribosomal RNA
Rfam family: Bacterial small subunit ribosomal RNA
Source: RNAcentral